This is a non-coding RNA of Pelobates cultripes (western spadefoot toad), 516 nucleotides long. Lineage: Eukaryota; Metazoa; Chordata; Amphibia; Anura; Pelobatidae. The record is from the annotation of a GenBank genome assembly.
AACACACAGACCUCCUGAGAAAAUUACGAGAAUUGACAAACACACAGGCUCUGCACCCUUCCGGACAACUAGCCAAAAGCAUUGUAGAAACCACUAAAAAGAUCAACGACAUGAAUCUAAACGAAACAGCCUACAUGCUAACUAAAUUAAAGGUGAAAACAUACGCUCAAGGCAACAGAGCUGGGAAACACUUAGCGACGAUGCUAAAGCAGAAGCAAGCCAAUUCCAAAAUCCCAUACCUGAUCUCUCAAACAGGUGACAAGAUCUACAAUCCUCAAGACAUCAACAAUGAGAUGGCCGACUAUUACCAUAAGCUUUACAAUCUAAGAUAUAACCCCGAAGUACACCAACCCACGAAACAAGAAAUCGAAGACUUCCUCCAAACUAUUACGCUACCAAAGAUAUCGGCCACCCACAAACGAACAAUACAAAAUCCCGUGAUGAUACAAGAAAUAACCGAUGCGAUCCAAGCACUCCCGCCAGGGAAAUCGCCAGGCCCUGAUGGUUUGACUAACC